GCGUAUAACUGGUCGAAGUAUUGCAGGCGCACGACUCGCAAGCAACAGAGUGCUGUGUACAUCUCCGCCUACGUAUUAUUAUUUGUCUGUCUCAUAACCACGCUUUUUGUUGAUCGUGAUCAACCACGAGUUUUAAACAGUUUCGAAUAAUGAAUUCAUCAUUUGUAAAAGACGUAUUGUGGCUUGUUGACAAAACGACGUAAGAAGGCUUUAAUGCAAUACGAAGGCAAGCAUGAUUCUGGCAGGAUCAGACCAUUUUCUGGCGGUACCGGUAGAAGCAACAGCAUUUUUGGGUGCUGUUGCUGGUUUUGUGGUUCUUCUGUUGGCUCUUUUCCUGUACCUAUCACGCAAAUGGUGCUUUACUCCGCCGUCCACAACCACACUUUUCGGCGGCGUUUGCGUGCCUCUUUGCGAAUCUAAUAAUGGCUCGACUUCUCAAAUUACAAAGAACAUAGGAAAAGCAUUUUCCUAUUCGGAUCCAGAGACUAGUUCCGAUUCGGAAGAAGAUGUCCGUCGAUUGAAUUCUCAUUCUCAUCCACCGCCGGAUACUUUAACUAUCCAAGCAGAGGAUGGACCGACUAUCUUGGAUGCUGGCACCACUUCUAGCAGCUGCACAGAAGAACACUCGUCCAAUGAUCAACAACAAUGCGUGGUAGAAGUGGGAGCUUCCGGUCUUGACAGUAGAGAACAAGAAGUAGAAGUGGAGCAAAAUGGUUCAACUACUAACGAUGUUAUUACAACAAUGGGUACUAUCACCGAAGAAGUGGGUAGCUUGGAAGUCGCUUUUCUAUAUGAUGCACCGAUGCGCGAGAUGACAGUUCAUGUAUUGCAAGGCCGAAAUUAUCCUGAAGGUAUAGGCGGCAGUCAAGUUCGACUAGUAUUAUUACCAUCGAAGAAACAACGACGCAAAACUCGGGUGCGUCAAGGUACAUCUCCACAAUACAUGGAGAGUUUUUUACUUCCACGAGUAAAUCCGGAGGAUGUAAAUGCCAUGGGUGUACGCUUAAGAGUAUAUUUAUGGGGCGGAAGAAUGCGUAGAGAAAGAUUGUUAGGCGAAGCGAGAGUCUCUUUCGAUCAAAUUAAUCUUCAGCUUGAAACUACACUUUGGUUAACGCUACAACCUCCACCUUUUUCUUCGGUACAAGAUUGGGGAACAACUAGUAGUUUGACUCGCAGCGAUUCGACAGGAUCACAACAAUCAGUUCAAUCAUAUGCAUCACCUACUGCACGUGUGCCAACUUAUGCAUCGCAUACUAUACCUCCUUAUGGCAGUAGUAUGAAGGGUGGAAGUGUAGCGGAGAUUUUAAUAGGUUUGGCUUAUAAUGGAACGACUGGACGUUUAUCGGUAGAGAUAAUCAAAGGAUCUCAUUUUCGUGGUGGUGGUGGGAAUGACACGAAACCACCUGAUACAUAUGUUAAGCUUGCUCUUGUAGAUAGUAAUGGUCAUGAAAUGGAACGAUCAAAAACUGGUUUGAAACGUGCUCAGCCGAAUCCUCUUUAUAAGGAAACAUUUAUAUUUCAAGUUGCACUAUUCCAACUUGGAGAUGUAACACUCUUUUUAUCGGUUUAUAAUCGACGAAGAGGUGGAAUGGGAAGAAAAGGAAGAGAAAUGAUUGGUUGGCUCAGUUUAGGAUUAAACAGUUCCGGUUCGGAGGAGCUUCAACAUUGGAAUGAUAUGCGUGCAGCAAGGCAACCGACGCAAGUUCAACGUUGGCACUCGUUGCUACGUCCUUGAAAUAUACGAUCACGAAAGAAUUUUUAUUACAAAACAACAUUCCAUGUUAACGAUAACGAUAUGGUUUGAUCAAUGGAACACAGUACAGAUCACGGUUACUCUUGUACACCGUGAUGACUGAUCGUGUAGCAAAGCAACUGAAUUUUUCAAGAUGAAUGCGGCUGCGCUCUAUUGGAUGCCGUUUGUACUGCCCGAACAGAACAAAGAAGUCAAUAUAUUGAUCUGUUGAUCCUGUGAAUCAGAGCUGUCAUAAUUUAGCAUGUGGUAACUCUGAAUUCAAAACUCUAUCGAUGUACCAAGUACAUUCCUUUUUGAUACGCUGGACGGAGUUGAGGGUGUUUCCAACAUACAUAUUACGCCGCGUGUCCAUCGACGGAGAAUCGUCGUGGGAUACCCAGCCGAGUCGAGAGCCCAUUAUGAACCGCGAUCCUCUAGUCGUUCUCUUUUGGACGAGUUAAAUUAAACUAACGUAACUUUUUCUCUCUCGACUCCGCGAUAUUUUCAACGGAAUAUUCGAUUUACAGUGCUUAUUUGUUCGAUACAUUCGAUAUUACAAAUCUUGGCGUUUUGAUCAUAUGGUUCGAGAAUGGAUUGAUAUGCAAAAAGAAUUAAUACCUUGUUGCAUUUGUUUGAUUUUCGACUAUUACUCUUUGUGUGAAAUAGAAAACAAUUCCUAAAUAAAUAAAUAGAUUAUAUUAAUUUCUUAUAUA
This 2445-nucleotide unclassified non-coding RNA is filed under the name Apis dorsata (giant honeybee). RNAcentral describes it as "synaptotagmin-14, transcript variant X1". Lineage: Eukaryota; Metazoa; Arthropoda; Insecta; Hymenoptera; Apidae. The record is from RNAcentral.